RNAcentral lists this ribosomal RNA (495 nucleotides) under uncultured bacterium. Its description in RNAcentral is "partial 16S ribosomal RNA". It matches the Rfam family "Bacterial small subunit ribosomal RNA", at positions 28 to 507 of the family's 1533-position model. The record is from RNAcentral.
GAUGAACGCUGGCGGCGUGCCUAAUACAUGCAAGUCGAGCGAACGGACGAGAAGCUUGCUUCUCUGAUGUUAGCGGCGGACGGGUGAGUAACACGUGGAUAACCUACCUAUAAGACUGGGAUAACUUCGGGAAACCGGAGCUAAUACCGGAUGAUAUUUUGAACCGCAUGGUUCAAAAGUGAAAGACGGUCUUGCUGUCACUUAUAGAUGGAUCCGCGCUGCAUUAGCUAGUUGGUAAGGUAACGGCUUACCAAGGCAACGAUGAAUAGCCGACCUGAGAGGGUGCUCGGCCACACUGGAACUGAGACACGGCCCAGACUCAUACGGGAGGCAGCAGUAGGGAAUCUUCCGAAAUGGGCGAAAGCCUGACGGAGCAACGCCGCGUGAGUGAUGAAGGUCUUCGGAUCGUAAAACUCUGUUAUUAGGGAAGAACAUAUGUAAGUAACUGUGCACAUCUUGACGGUACCUAAUCAGAAAGCCACGGCUAACUACGUG